UCGUAACAAGGUUUCUGUAGGUGAACCUGCAGAAGGAUCAUUAGUGAAGAUUUGGGCAGGCCAUACGGACGUCAAAAAGUGUCCCUGGCCGCCUACACCCACUAUACAUCCACAAACCCGUGUGCACUGUCUUGGAGAAAGGCUUCAGAGGAGUUUUUUGUGGCCUCUCUUGGGGUCUUUCUUCGCUACAAACUCGAAUGGUUAGUAUGAACGUGGAACUUGGUUGGACCGUCACUGGCCAACAAACUAUACACAACUUUCGACAACGGAUCUCUUGGUUCUCCCAUCGAUGAAGAACGCAGCGAAACGCGAUAGGUAAUGUGAAUUGCAGAAUUCCGUGAAUCAUCGAAUCUUUGAACGCACCUUGCGCUCUAUGGCAAUCCGUAGAGCAUGCCUGUUUGAGUGCCAUGAAAUCUCCCACCCCAAGCGGUUUUUAAAUGAAACGGCUUGGCGGAUGGGGUCUGGAUGGGUGCCUCUGCCUGCGCUACCUAGCACAGGCUCGCCCGAAAUGCAUGAGCGCCUUGAGACACUUUGCAUCCGCCUCUCUGUUUGGGAGGAGGCGGCCAAGCAGUGUUUUUCUCCUGGCAUGGCAUGAUACGUCAUUUGCUAUGUCGCCUAAAGGAGGAAUGUUUGGUUGUGUCUGCGUGUGCUUCGAACUUGCCUCUGUGGCACAUCCCAAUUUCACUUCUGGUCUCAAAUCAGGUAGGAUCACCCGCUGAACUUAAGCAUAUCAAUA
RNAcentral lists this ribosomal RNA (736 nucleotides) under uncultured eukaryote. Its description in RNAcentral is "eukaryotic LSU rRNA". The stretch from base 255 to 408 matches the Rfam family "5.8S ribosomal RNA". The record is from RNAcentral.